GUGGGGAAUUUUGGACAAUGGGCGCAAGCCUGAUCCAGCAAUGCCGCGUGCAGGAAGAAGGCCUUCGGGUUGUAAACUGCUUUUGUACGGAACGAAACGGUCCUGGUUAAUACCUGGGGCUAAUGACGGUACCGUAAGAAUAAGCACCGGCUAACUACGUGCCAGCAGCCGCGGUAAUACGUAGGGUGCGAGCGUUAAUCGGAAUUACUGGGCGUAAAGCGUGCGCAGGCGGUGCUGUAAGACAGGCGUGAAAUCCCCGGGCUCAACCUGGGAAUUGCGCUUGUGACUGCAGUGCUGGAGUACGGCAGAGGGGGAUGGAAUUCCGCGUGUAGCAGUGAAAUGCGUAGAUAUCAGGAGGAACACCGAUGGCGAAGGCAGCCCCCUGGGCCUGUACUGACGCUCAUGCACGAAAGCGUGGGGAGCAAACAGGAUUAGAUACCCGAGUAGUCC
Molecule: ribosomal RNA, 450 nt
Filed under: uncultured bacterium
Lineage: Bacteria
Description: partial 16S ribosomal RNA
Rfam family: Bacterial small subunit ribosomal RNA
Source: RNAcentral